RNAcentral lists this long non-coding RNA (4694 nucleotides) under Gossypium barbadense (sea-island cotton). RNAcentral describes it as "long non-coding RNA (GBAR_LNC013810)". The record is from RNAcentral. Lineage: Eukaryota; Viridiplantae; Streptophyta; Magnoliopsida; Malvales; Malvaceae.
GCCUCCUUCAAAGAGAUUAUAUCAACACUCCCAAGAAGAAAAAGUUGGAAUGACUCAAAUAACGACUUUUUUUUGUAUCGAGGCUUCUGGUGUUACUCGUUUUUCAUUGAAGGAGUGAUGUCGGCUCAACAAAAUUUCCAAUCUCAACCUUCCGAUAUCGUCAUAUGCAGUGCACCGAAAACUGGAACAACAUGGUUAAAGUCCCUCACUUUUGCCAUUGUCACAAGAAUCACCUUCGAUGAUUCCACUAACCCUUUACUUGCCAAUCUAUCACAUGAUUGUGUACCACUUUUAGAGGUUGAUUUAGCCCAAUCUUCCAUCAAUCGAGACCCUAAAAAUCCUUUGUUAGCCACACAUGUCCCUUACUCAUCUUUACCAAGAUCAAUAAUUGAUUCCAGUUGUAAAAUUGUUUACAUUUGUAGGGACCCUAAGGAUUCAUUCGUUUCGUUUUAUCACUUCAUUGCUAGGCGCUUGGCAUCCAAAGACAUAAAGCCCCUUGCUUUAGAAGAGGCCUUUGAGCUUUAUUGCCAAGGUGUAAGCAAUUAUGGACCUUAUUGGGACCAUGUUCUAGGGUUUUGGAAAGCAAGUUUGGACCGACCUGAUAAGAUUCUUUUCUUGAAAUACGAAGAAAUGAUAGAAGAUACUGUUUUAUACGUUAAGAAAUUAGCUGAUUUCAUCGGUUACCCUUUCUCUUCUGAAGAAAUCAAAAAAGGGUCAGUCGACAAGAUCAUAAGCAUGUGUAGCUUCGAGAACUUAAGCAAUUUGGAAGUGAAUAAAAGUGGCAAACACCGUGAAGGAACUCCAGGGGUGAUUGAAAACAAGAUCUAUUUCCGAAAAGGUAAGGUUGGGGAUUGGGAGAAUUAUUUGACACCUGAAAUGGCUUCUCGGUUGGACUCGCUAACGUUACAGAAGCUAAAUGGUUCAGGCUUAACUCUGUGAUUGAAUCAUAAAGCAGCCAUGGGGUACAUUGUCCCUUCUUUGCAAUUUCUGCAUAUUAUGUUUCUAAAAAUAAUUUGUGUAUGCUUUUUGCAAGUAGCAACACUUCUCGUGUUGUUCAUGUUAACAUCAAUAAAAAGCAUAGUUGAUUCAAUAUGUGAAAUGUGAUUAAAAACAACAUGUAAAACACAAUGCGAAUUGGUUUAUAUGAGUCCGGAGGACCGAUAUAAAUUUUUUUAAAAAAUCAAUAGAUUCGAUAUAUAAAUGAUAUGAUUAAAUGAUAUGAAUUGAAAUGAAAAUGAUUGUAUUUUUUUAUAGUGGAAAAAGUAGCAUGGCAUGUUAUAAUGAUUUGUCGAUUUUCAUAAUGUAUGAAUCGAGAUAUAUGACAUGAAGAGAUGAAAUUCAAACGUUUGAAUCUUGAAUAUGUUUUCAUUACAUUUUUGUCGAAUUAAUGUUUAUGUUGGUAUGACUUGAUCAUAAAGGUACUGAUGAUCUUUAUUGUUCAAUGCACACUUUGUUUAUUCCAUGUGAGGUAUUAGUUAAUUUCGAAGACUCGAGGAGUGAUCCAACAUCCGAUCUGCAACUCUCGACUCAACAAUGUUUGUAUAGUUCCUUUACGUUUUGAUAUAUGACAUGUACUUAAGUUUUGAGUUAGUUUUGUAUCUUGGAUGGUCAUUUGGAAAAUUGGAUGGUUGAUGUGAAUUUGAGUUUAUGAAUAUGAAAUGUUUAAGUUAUCAUGAACAUUAUGUGAUGUUUAAAUGGUUAAGUGGUGUAAAUGGUCAUAUAUAUUAAGUUAGGUUUGAGUUAUGAAUGGUUAAAUUGAUAAACAUGAAUGAUAAUGACAUAGCAAAGGUAGUAUAUGAAGUGUUUGAUGUAGGUAUUAUGCUUGAAUGGAUUGGUUUCGCAUUGGUUAUUUUGGUUAGGUUUGUAUGGAUUAGUACCAAAUAAACAUUUCAAAACAGUAUGUCACGUUGUAACGAGAAAUCAAUAGUGAAUGAUGUCGCGACUUGGAAUCUCCCAAGUCGUGACGUCAACUCGAUAGUUUUAACAUUUUAUAUUUUAGUCCUUAAACGACCUUAGGUUAUCGAAAGAGCUGUCGUAUGCUCGUAUAAACCUUGGAUAUGUUUGUAUAAUAAGAUAUAAUGAUGUAUUGAUCAUAAUUACAUGUAUAAACUGUUGAAUUGAUAAAAUUUAGAUCGUAGUUGUUCUAACAACAAAUGUGAUAUCCCAUAGCUUGGACCUGUGAUCAAGUUGGGUAUGGGGUGUUACUAGAAAGGUGGGUUUGGAGAAGAAGAAUAGCACUUUGUAUUAUAAAUUUAAAAACAAAAACUCAAUCAGUAUAGUAAAUGGAGUUAGAGAAGAAAUAAUGGGUUUAGAAAAGAAGUAGAGUACUUUGUAUUAUAAAUUACAAGAAAAAAAUCUAAAAUUUCAAAAAAUUGAAACUUACCAAAGAAUCCAAAUAAAUAUAAUAUAAUACAACAUUUUGCUCUUCUCUCUUGCUCGAUAGGCCGUUGGUGGUAGAAGUUUUUAUGAUUCUCAAGAAUGAAAGCACUGUUACCCAAGCCCUGAUUUUGUUUCCUGGAAAUUCGAGCAGCAACAAUCGGUCUAAUAAUUAUAAUUAGUUAGACUUUUCUAGAUAAUAAAAUACUAUUACAUACCAAUUUUAUAAACUACUAACAAUAUAUAUUUGACAGUUAAAAGUUUUUUUUACAUAAAAUGAAUAUUUAGAAAAAUUUAAUUACGUCAACGUUAACAUACAUGAUCUAUAUGAAUGGAGUAUGAAAUAUGACGGUGGGAUUGUUAAAAUAUUAAUUGUAUAAAAAGUUACUAAAUUAUGCAAAACCACUUUAAUUUUACACCGUGUAAGUGAAUCUCUCCUCUUAUUUUAUUUUUUAAGUAUUAUAUUAGUAAUUUUUAUCUUACAUAUUUUAUUUAUGUUUUCUGGGUACAUGUUUUAUCUUAAGAUUUGUAUAAUUCUUUACACAAUAAUAAUUCAUUUUACAUAGUUAUAAAAAAUCAUUAAUUUUACAUAAAUUUUGAUAUAUUAUUAUAUUUUGAAUUUAUGUUUAUUUCUAUGUGACAUGAUAAUUUUAAUUAUUGAAAUUUUUUAUCUUCGAAUAAUUUUGUCAAAUAAUUUAAUAAUUAAAUAAUUAUAUAUAGUGUACAAAUCAUAUUAAAAAAUUAAUCUAACUUUACGAAGCAUAAUGAGCAGGUAUAUUCUAGUGAUAUAUUAAAUAUAUUAUAUAAUUUACAUAUUUUUUUUACCUUCAAAAAGUCAAAUUCUUGAUCAUUUUAGUCUUUUUUUUUUAUCAUUUUAGUUUUGAACCAUCAAAUUUCAAUUUUUUUUGACGUAAAAGUAGAACUACAAUUAAAAUUUUAACGUGAUUAAUGUGGUAGCCUGUAUAGUAGUGCAUGUAUACUUUAUUGUUAACAUGGAUGAUUAUUUUCAAAACUUUUAUGAACUUUUUGAAUUUUUAUUUUUAUUUAAUUUAUGAAGUAAGCGUGAAUUUUCAUGUGUGUCACCACGUUACUCCCGUUAAAAUUUUAAUAGUCCAAUUAUUUUUUCAGUUCAAAGAAAAACAAUUUAACAAAAAUUUGAAAAUUUAAAACAAACCGAUCCAAAAAAGUAUUAAGACAAAUGCAUUUAAGAGAAGAGAAAUUAUUUCGUACAUUGUCGAUAAAGCUUUUAUACUUCACAAGCAGAAUCAGAAGUUAAUAAGUAUCUUAUAGAGAUAUUAUAAAAUAUUAAUUUUUUAAAAUUACUUAUGAAAUAAAAAAAAUACACUUCACCCAAAUUAGUGUAAGAAAAAUAAUACAAAACUUGAUUCCAAAUCUUUUAAAAUAAUACAAAAAAAUCUAUCAACUAGAUUGUUUAGCGACAAAAUCAUGCAUGGGACAGACCUUGACAAUGGCUAAAUAAGCACUAGCUACAUUAUUUAUUUAUUUAGUCCCUAUAAUUCUGUUCCAAUUCAAGAAAUUUCGUGGUGGAUAUAAUAAAAAAAUUGUUGUUAAAAGCAAAUAAUUUUCGUCACUAAGUUCACAUGGUUCAAUUACAAAAAAAAUUAGUGUAAUUGUGAAAGAAAUUACCUUUUCUCUAAAGCUAUUUAUAGACCCAAUUUUUGUCAAAAUAUUUGCACUCAUUUCCCCUUUCUUUUUCCUUUAUGAAAAUGGCCUCCUUGAAAGAGAUUAUAUCAACACUCCCAAGAAGAAAAGGCUGGAAUGACUCAGAUAACGACCUUUUUUUGUAUCGAAGCUUCUAUUAUUACUCGUUUUUCAUUGAAGGAGUGAUGUCGGCUCAACAAAAUUUCCAAUCUCAACCUUCCGAUAUCAUCAUAUGCAGUGCAUCGAAAACUAGAACAACAUGGUUAAAGUCCCUCACUUUCGCCAUUGUCACAAGAACCACCUUCGAUGAUUCCACUAACCCUUUACUUACCAAUCUAUCACAUGAUUGUGUACCCCUUUUAGAGGUUGAUUUAGCCCAAUCUUCCACCAAUCGAGACCCUAAAAAUCCUUUGUUAGCCACACAUGUCCCUUACUCUUCUUAAUUACCAAGAUCAAUAAUUGAUUCCAGUGGUAAAAUUGUUUACAUUUGUAGGGACCCUAAGGAUUCAUUCGUUUCGCUUUAUCACUUCAUUGCUAGGUGAUUGGCAUCCAAAGACAUGAAGCCCCUUGCUUUAGAGGAGGCCUUUGAGCUUUAUUGCGGAGGUGUAAGCUUUGGGACCAUGUUCUAUGGUUUUGGAAAGCAAGUUUGGACCGAC